This 624-nucleotide long non-coding RNA is filed under the name Manacus vitellinus (golden-collared manakin). RNAcentral's name for it is "lncRNA (ENSMVIG00005016000.1)". The record is from RNAcentral. Lineage: Eukaryota; Metazoa; Chordata; Aves; Passeriformes; Pipridae.
UCAGAUAGGAAUCUGGGACAGAUUUUGCCAGCAGCCACAAAGCAUGGCCCUUUGGUAAUAGAAUAGCCAAUGUAAUUUGACACUUCAACUUGCUGUGCUCUCUGCUAGUUGAUUCACUUACUCACCCACUAACAUUGAGCUCCUUUUCACUGUCUGUGGGCAAGGGGAAAAAAAAAGGGGGGGGGAAGGAAGAAAAAAGAAAGCGGGGGGAGAAGGAAGAAAGGAAGGGAAUAAACAAAAUUAUAUAUUUAAAAAUACCCAAGUAGAGCUGCAAAUCAGUUGGGGAGAGAGGAUUUUGCCUGCCUUCUUCCUUAUUAUUUUGCUGCUGCAAGGCUGCUUUGCAAUCCGUAGGAAAUACUGUUGUGCUGAGGAAGAAAACAACUCCCUCUUCUUUUUUUUUUUUUCCUUUUUUUUUUCCCCCUCUUCCCUCCCCUCCUUUCUUCUUGCCUGAAUUAGAAGCUCCAGGAAUGUGCUAAUUGGCGGCGGCCUCUUCAGAAAGCUCAGGAUACUCCUUUCUCAACCUCACUACAUGGAGAUUUCUAGAGGUGUCACGGAAACAGGUUAGUUAUUAUAAACCACUUUGUAAAUAAUAAACUGCAGUACAAAAAUAAUUAUAAUAUUGUU